RNAcentral lists this ribosomal RNA (502 nucleotides) under uncultured bacterium. RNAcentral's name for it is "bacterial SSU rRNA". It matches the Rfam family "Bacterial small subunit ribosomal RNA", at positions 8 to 507 of the family's 1533-position model. The record is from RNAcentral.
AGAGUUUGAUCAUGGCUCAGAUUGAACGCUGGCGGAAUGCUUUACACAUGCAAGUCGAACGGCAGCACGGGGCAACCUGGUGGCGAGUGGCGAACGGGUGAGUAAUACAUCGGAACGUGCCCAAUCGUGGGGGAUAACGUAGCGAAAGUUACGCUAAUACCGCAUACGAUCUACGGAUGAAAGCGGGGGAUCGCAAGACCUCGCGCGAAUGGAGCGGCCGAUGUCAGAUUAGGUAGUUGGUGGGGUAAAGGCUCACCAAGCCAACGAUCUGUAGCUGGUCUGAGAGGACGACCAGCCACACUGGAACUGAGACACGGUCCAGACUCCUACGGGAGGCAGCAGUGGGGAAUUUUGGACAAUGGGGGCAACCCUGAUCCAGCCAUUCCGCGUGAGUGAAGAAGGCCUUCGGGUUGUAAAGCUCUUUCAGCAGGAACGAAACGGUGGCCACUAAUACUGGCUACUAAUGACGGUACCUGAAGAAGAAGCACCGGCUAACUACGUG